RNAcentral lists this ribosomal RNA (852 nucleotides) under uncultured Exiguobacterium sp. Its description in RNAcentral is "bacterial SSU rRNA". It matches the Rfam family "Bacterial small subunit ribosomal RNA", at positions 61 to 883 of the family's 1533-position model. The record is from RNAcentral. Lineage: Bacteria; Bacillati; Bacillota; Bacilli; Caryophanales.
GUCGAGCGCAGGAAACUGACGGAACUCUUCGGAGGGAAGGCAGUGGAAGGGACGGCGGACGGGUGAGUAACACGUAAGGAACCUGCCUCAAGGAUUGGGAUAACUCCGAGAAAUCGGAGCUAAUACCGGAUAGUUCAACGGACCGCAUGGUCCGCUGAUGAAAGGCGCUUCGGCGUCACCUUGAGAUGGCCUUGCGGUGCAUUAGCUAGUUGGUGGGGUAACGGCCCACCAAGGCGACGAUGCAUAGCCGACCUGAGAGGGUGAUCGGCCACACUGGGACUGAGACACGGCCCAGACUCCUACGGGAGGCAGCAGUAGGGAAUCUUCCACAAUGGACGAAAGUCUGGUGGAGCAACGCCGCGUGAGUGAUGAAGGUUUUCGGAUCGUAAAACUCUGUUGUAAGGGAAGAACACGUACGAGAGGGAAUGCUCGUACCUUGACGGUACCUUACGAGAAAGCCACGGCUAACUACGUGCCAGCAGCCGCGGUAAUACGUAGGUGGCAAGCGUUGUCCGGAAUUAUUGGGCGUAAAGCGCGCGCAGGCGGCCUUUUAAGUCUGAUGUGAAAGCCCCCGGCUCAACCGGGGAGGGCCAUUGGAAACUGGAAGGCUUGAGUACAGAAGAGAAGAGUGGAAUUCCACGUGUAGCGGUGAAAUGCGUAGAGAUGUGGAGGAACACCAGUGGCGAAGGCGACUCUUUGGUCUGUAACUGACGCUGAGGCGCGAAAGCGUGGGGAGCAAACAGGAUUAAAUACUCUGGUAGUCCACGCCGUAAACGAUGAGUGCUAGGUGUUGGGGGGGUUUCCGCCCCUCAGUGCUGAGCUAACGCAUUAAGCACUCCGCCUGGGGAGUAC